CCUACGGGAGGCUGCAGUGGGGAAUAUUGGGCAAUGGGCGCAAGCCUGACCCAGCAACGCCGCGUGAGGGAAGAAGGCUUUCGGGUUGUAAACUUCUUUUCUCAGGGACGAAGCAAGUGACGGUAGCUUAAGAAUAAGCCACUGCUAACUACCUACCAGCAGCCGCGGUAAUACGUAGGUGGCAAGCGUGAUCCGGAUGUACUGGGUGUAAAGGGCGUGUAGGCGGGACUGCAAUUCAGAUGUGAAAACCACGGGCUCAACCUGUGGACUGCAGUUGAAACUGUAGGUCUUGAGUACUGGAGAGGCAGACGGAAUUCCUAGUGUAGCGGUGAAAUGCGGAGAUAUUAGGAGGAACACCAGUGGCGAAGGCGGUCUGCUGGACAGCAACUGACGCUGAGGCGCGAAAGCGUGGGGAGCAAACAGGAUUAGAUACCCCAGUAGUC
This 443-nucleotide ribosomal RNA is filed under the name uncultured bacterium. RNAcentral describes it as "partial 16S ribosomal RNA". It matches the Rfam family "Bacterial small subunit ribosomal RNA", at positions 338 to 795 of the family's 1533-position model. The record is from RNAcentral.